ACCAUCGCCCUUAAGUUGCUUUGGGUUUUACGGUUUUACUUCCAACCUGGCAUAUAAAUGCACUUAGUAUCCAAAGUUUUUUGUCAAUAACUGGUGAUCAGACUUUCAAACGAACACGUUUUUAAGGGCUGAGAAGGUGAAAGUUAGAAGUCUGCAGACUGCAACGUAAGUCAAUUUUCAACACAUGGUUUUCUGAAUAUAUUUAGUUUUCGAUUGAAAUGAGAAUAAACUGAACUUAUAGAUAUGUUGAAAACUAACUAUAUUAUAUUUUAAAUGUUCGCUAAACGCAAGUGAAGCAAUAAUCUAUAGAUGCAAAUAUACUUUAUAUUUUG
Hydra vulgaris (swiftwater hydra) is the source of this 332-nucleotide long non-coding RNA. RefSeq lists it as uncharacterized. Lineage: Eukaryota; Metazoa; Cnidaria; Hydrozoa; Anthoathecata; Hydridae. The record is from RefSeq and is a predicted model, not a curated record.